AACGAACGCUGGCGGCAUGCCUAACACAUGCAAGUCGAACGAGACCUUCGGGUCUAGUGGCGCACGGGUGCGUAACGCGUGGGAACCUGCCCUUAGGUUCGGAAUAACUCCCCGAAAGGGGUGCUAAUACCGGAUAAUGUCUUCGGACCAAAGAUUUAUCGCCUUUGGAUGGGCCCGCGUUGGAUUAGCUAGUUGGUAGGGUAAAAGCCUACCAAGGCGACGAUGCGUAGCUGGUCUGAGAGGAGGAUCAGCCACACUGGGACUGAGACACGGCCCAGACGCCGACGGGCGGCAGCAUCGGGGAAUCAUGCGCGAUGGGCGAUAGCGGGAUGGUGCAAGCUCGCGUGAGUUAAGAAUGCCUUCUGCUCGGAAAACUCUUGUACUCGGGAAGAACAACAGUAUAUGCAACCAUCCCCGUCAUGACGGUACCUAAUCAAAAAGCCACGGCUAACUUCGUG
RNAcentral lists this ribosomal RNA (458 nucleotides) under uncultured bacterium. Its description in RNAcentral is "partial 16S ribosomal RNA". It matches the Rfam family "Bacterial small subunit ribosomal RNA", at positions 29 to 507 of the family's 1533-position model. The record is from RNAcentral.